CAUUUUAUGAUAUAAUAUACUUGUAGUAAGUUUAUGACGGUAGCUACUUAGGGGGGAUGCCUAUGUGUAUUUUCCUACUUCAUAGAAGAAGGGAGUAGCAUUUUUCGUCUGUUGCUGAAGCAAUUGGUUUGAUGAUGCAAUUUGGAUCAUUUAUUCUUGCUUUAUUUGGCAUUAU
Molecule: non-coding RNA, 175 nt
Organism: Enterococcus villorum ATCC 700913
Lineage: Bacteria; Bacillati; Bacillota; Bacilli; Lactobacillales; Enterococcaceae
Source: Rfam